UCGCGGAUCAGCAUGCCGCGGUGAAUACGUUCCCGGGCCUUGUGCACACCCGCCCGUCACACCAUGAGAGUCGGGAACACCCGAAGUCCGUAGCCUAACCGCAAGGGGGGCGCGGCCGAAGGUGGGUACGAUAAUUGGGGUGAAGUCGUAACAAGGUAAC
RNAcentral lists this ribosomal RNA (160 nucleotides) under uncultured bacterium. RNAcentral describes it as "partial 16S ribosomal RNA". It matches the Rfam family "Bacterial small subunit ribosomal RNA", at positions 1342 to 1500 of the family's 1533-position model. The record is from RNAcentral.